UUAACGACUCUCGGCAACGGAUAUCUCGGCUCUCGCAUCGAUGAAGAACGUAGCGAAAUGCGAUACUUGGUGUGAAUUGCAGAAUCCCGUGAACCAUCGAGUCUUUGAACGCAAGUUGCGCCCGAAGCCAUUAGGCCAAGGGCACGCCUGCCUGGGCGUCUCACA
This 165-nucleotide ribosomal RNA is filed under the name Madhuca motleyana. RNAcentral's name for it is "5.8S ribosomal RNA". It matches the Rfam family "5.8S ribosomal RNA". Rfam says of the family: 5.8S ribosomal RNA (5.8S rRNA) is a component of the large subunit of the eukaryotic ribosome. It is transcribed by RNA polymerase I as part of the 45S precursor that also contains 18S and 28S rRNA. Functionally, it is thought that 5.8S rRNA may be involved in ribosome translocation. RNAcentral also lists the same sequence under 4 other names. Lineage: Eukaryota; Viridiplantae; Streptophyta; Magnoliopsida; Ericales; Sapotaceae. The record is from RNAcentral.